RNAcentral lists this ribosomal RNA (492 nucleotides) under uncultured bacterium. RNAcentral's name for it is "partial 16S ribosomal RNA". It matches the Rfam family "Bacterial small subunit ribosomal RNA", at positions 29 to 507 of the family's 1533-position model. The record is from RNAcentral.
AGUGAACGCUGGCGGUAGGCCUAACACAUGCAAGUCGAACGGCAGCACAGUAAGAGCUUGCUCUUACGAGUGGCGAGUGGCGGACGGGUGAGGAAUACAUCGGAAUCUACUUUUUCGUGGGGGAUAACGUAGGGAAACUUACGCUAAUACCGCAUACGACCUACGGGUGAAAGCAGGGGAUCUUCGGACCUUGCGCGAUUGAAUGAGCCGAUGUCGGAUUAGCUAGUUGGCGGGGUAAAGGCCCACCAAGGCGACGAUCCGUAGCUGGCCUGAGAGGAUGAUCAGCCACACUGGAACUGAGACACGGUCCAGACUCCUACGGGAGGCAGCAGUGGGGAAUAUUGGACAAUGGGCGCAAGCCUGAUCCAGCCAUACCGCGUGGGUGAAGAAGGCCUUCGGGUUGUAAAGCCCUUUUGUUGGGAAAGAAAAGCAGCAGGUUAAUACCCCGCUGUUCUGACGGUACCCAAAGAAUAAGCACCGGCUAACUUCGUG